This 475-nucleotide ribosomal RNA is filed under the name uncultured bacterium. Its description in RNAcentral is "bacterial SSU rRNA". It matches the Rfam family "Bacterial small subunit ribosomal RNA", at positions 28 to 507 of the family's 1533-position model. The record is from RNAcentral.
GAUGAACGCUAGCGGGAGGCCUAACACAUGCAAGUCGAGCGGGGCUAUGUAAUAUCGCAAGGUAGAACAUAGCCUAGCGGCGAACGGGUGAGUAACACGUGGGUAACCUGCCUGGAAGACAGGGAUAACGAUUCGAAAGGGUCGCUAAUACCUGAUAAUAUCCUUUCAUCGCAUGGUGAUAGGAAGAAAGGGGAAACCCGCUUUCAGAUGGGCCCGCGUCCCAUCAGCUAGUUGGUAAGGUAAAGGCUUACCAAGGCGACGACGGGUAGCCGGUCUGAGAGGAUGUACGGCCACACUGGGACUGAGAUACGGCCCAGACUCCUACGGGAGGCAGCAGUUGGGAAUCUUAGGCAAUGGACGAAAGUCUGACCUAGCGACGCCGCGUGAGGGAAGAAGGGCCUUCGGGUUGUAAACCUCUGUCAUGGGGGAAGAGUAAGUGACGGUACCCCAAGAGGAAGCCCCUGCUAACUACGUG